CAUUUCAGAAUGUGAUAUUGGUUGAAUCAACAGGUAUUCUAAAAAGGUGCUAACUCUUGUGGAAUGAACAAUCACACAUUUCUGUGAACGUUACUAUUUUUCUUACAAGAUCUGAACCAUACUGGUGCCUAACCUUUCAUAUCUCGAUGUAUAUUUGAACUGUAGAGAAUUACAGGGGUACGUGUUUGUAGAGAUCAGCUGAGUCCGACGAAUUUUGGUAGAUUCAAACCUAAAUUAGUGUUUUAGCUGCGUAUGGCCCGUCUUGCAAAGGAGAAGACC
Molecule: long non-coding RNA, 279 nt
Filed under: Setaria viridis
Lineage: Eukaryota; Viridiplantae; Streptophyta; Magnoliopsida; Poales; Poaceae
Description: long non-coding RNA (SVIR_LNC005825)
Source: RNAcentral